This 76-nucleotide transfer RNA is filed under the name Angustibacter aerolatus. RNAcentral's name for it is "tRNA-Lys". It matches the Rfam family "tRNA". From Rfam's summary of the family: Transfer RNA (tRNA) molecules are approximately 80 nucleotides in length. Their secondary structure includes four short double-helical elements and three loops (D, anti-codon, and T loops). Lineage: Bacteria; Bacillati; Actinomycetota; Actinomycetes; Kineosporiales; Kineosporiaceae. The record is from RNAcentral.
GCGCCAUUAGGCUCAAUUGGCAGAGCAGUGACUCUUAAUCAGCGGGUUCGGGGUUCGAGUCCCUGAUGGCGCACCA